UACGUAGGUGGCAAGCGUUAUCCGGAAUUAUUGGGCGUAAAGCGCGCGCAGGUGGUUUCUUAAGUCUGAUGUGAAAGCCCACGGCUCAACCGUGGAGGGUCAUUGGAAACUGGGAGACUUGAGUGCAGAAGAGGAAAGUGGAAUUCCAUGUGUAGCGGUGAAAUGCGUAGAGAUAUGGAGGAACACCAGUGGCGAAGGCGACUUUCUGGUCUGUAACUGACACUGAGGCGCGAAAGCGUGGGGAGGCAAAC
RNAcentral lists this ribosomal RNA (251 nucleotides) under uncultured bacterium. RNAcentral's name for it is "partial 16S ribosomal RNA". It matches the Rfam family "Bacterial small subunit ribosomal RNA", at positions 524 to 774 of the family's 1533-position model. The record is from RNAcentral.